RNAcentral lists this ribosomal RNA (459 nucleotides) under Triticum aestivum (bread wheat). RNAcentral's name for it is "partial small subunit ribosomal RNA". Lineage: Eukaryota; Viridiplantae; Streptophyta; Magnoliopsida; Poales; Poaceae. The record is from RNAcentral.
AUGCACCCUGAUGAGAAGGAAGCUGUCAUCGACGACCUCAUGGCCUUCCAGGAGAGCAAGGAAUACUAUGCCAAGGUCGGCAAGGCGUGGAAGCGCGGGUAUCUCCUUUACGGACCGCCCGGCACCGGCAAGUCUACCAUGAUCGCCGCCAUGGCCAACUUCCUCGACUAUGACGUCUACGACCUCGAGCUCACAGCGGUCAAGAACAACACCGAGUUGCGGAAGCUCUUCAUCGAGACAACGGGCAAGUCCAUCAUCGUCAUAGAGGACAUCGACUGCUCUGUCGACUUCACAGGAAAACGCCGCCAGGACAAGAAGGCCUCAAGCGACAAGGACUCCGACAACGAUGACAAGCCCAAGCUACCGAUAGAGCCAGAGAAGGACGAUGCCACCAAGGUGACGCUCUCGGGCCUGCUUAACUUCAUCGACGGGCUGUGGUCUGCUUGCGGAGGUGAGUGA